This 373-nucleotide ribosomal RNA is filed under the name uncultured organism. RNAcentral describes it as "partial 16S ribosomal RNA". It matches the Rfam family "Bacterial small subunit ribosomal RNA", at positions 527 to 896 of the family's 1533-position model. The record is from RNAcentral.
GUAGGUGGCAAGCGUUGUCCGGAAUUAUUGGGCGUAAAGCGCGCGCAGGCGGUCCUUUAAGUCUGAUGUGAAAGCCCACGGCUCAACCGUGGAGGGUCAUUGGAAACUGGGGGACUUGAGUACAGAAGAGGAAAGCGGAAUUCCAAGUGUAGCGGUGAAAUGCGUAGAGAUUUGGAGGAACACCAGUGGCGAAGGCGGCUUUCUGGUCUGUAACUGACGCUGAGGCGCGAAAGCGUGGGGAGCAAACAGGAUUAGAUACCCUGGUAGUCCACGCCGUAAACGAUGAGUGCUAAGUGUUAGGGGGUUUCCCGCCCCCUUAGUGCUGCAGCUAACGCAUUAAGCACUCCGCCUGGGGAGUACGGCCGCUAGGCUG